Molecule: ribosomal RNA, 440 nt
Filed under: uncultured bacterium
Lineage: Bacteria
Description: partial 16S ribosomal RNA
Rfam family: Bacterial small subunit ribosomal RNA
Source: RNAcentral
CCUACGGGUGGCAGCAGUGGGGAAUAUUGCACAAUGGGGGGAACCCUGAUGCAGCAACGCCGCGUGGGUGAAGAAGUACUCCGGUAUGUAAAGCCCUGUCAGCAGGGAAGAAAAUGACGGUACCUGACCAAGAAGCCCCGGCUAACUACGUGCCAGCAGCCGCGGUAAUACGUAGGGGGCAAGCGUUAUCCGGAUGUACUGGGUGUAAAGGGAGCGUAGUCGGGAAGGCAAGUCUGGAGGGAAAGCCCGGGGCCCAACCACGGGACUGCUUUGGAAACUGUGUUGCUGGAGUGCAGGAGGGGUAGGCGGAAUUCCUGGUGUAGCGGUGAAAUGCGUAGAUAUUAGGAGGAACACCGGUGGCGAAGGCGGCUUACUGGACUGUAACUGACGUUGAGGCUCGAAGGCGUGGGGAGCAAACAGGAUUAGAUACCCUGGUAGUC